Long non-coding RNA from Aethalodelphis obliquidens (Pacific white-sided dolphin), 2232 nucleotides. RefSeq lists it as uncharacterized. The record is from RefSeq and is a predicted model, not a curated record. NCBI's taxonomy places the organism in Eukaryota, Metazoa, Chordata, Mammalia, Artiodactyla, Delphinidae. The transcript is spliced from 3 exons.
GAAGAGCUGGAACUGCUGUAGCCUUCUUAUGAUAUGAGGCCUGGUAAUAAAGCAUAGCCAAGAGAAGGGGAGAGAAAGAAACUGGGUACCAGAUCAAGUCAUGCCCACCAUACCCCAUCUGUGCUGGUUUAGAUAUUUAAGCACACUCUAUGUGCAGAGUUGCAGCAAUGCAGCAGUAGCCAAAGAGACAAGCGCUUGCUCUGCUGGAGCCCUCAUUCCAGUGAGGAAGACAGACACCUCACAAGAGAACAAAGGAACCCGACAAUGUCUGACAGCAAUAUGUGCGAUGAGAACAACAAAACUGGAUAGAUCUGCUUGGAGUGGGGGAGAGAGGUGCCUGGCGUGAUCAACAUGGACUUCACUAAGGAGAAGACCUUUGAGUGGAGACCCUGAUGCAAAACGAUGAGGAGGCGCCACCAGGGGACACAGGUUCGAGCCCUGGUCCGGGCAGGUCCCACAUGCCACGGAGCAACUAAGACCGUGCGCCACAACUAUGCACCUCGAGGGCCCGCGCACCUCGAGCCCAUGCUCCGCAUCAAGAGAAGCCACCACAAUGAGAAGCCCGUGCACCGCAACUAGAGAAAGCCUGCAUGCAGCAACGAAGACCCAACGCAGCCAAAAAUAAAUAAAUUAAUUAAUUUAAAAGAAAGAAAGAAAGAAAACGAUGCGUUCAAAAUGGAACUUGUAGGGGAAGGAGAGUAGAACCAACAGGACUGGCAGGUGGAUGGGAUUGGGCAGGUAGAGAACCAAGUAGACAGAUAACAACUAGCUUGAGCUCAGAGGUGGAUAGUGAUGUCAUUUACUUAGAUGGGGAGGAGGUGAUUGUUUGGGGGGCAAGGGGAGUGGGGAUUGAGGGAUUGAUGUUCUGGAUGUGUAUUAGGUAUCCGAGUGACCGUGUUAGUAGAGCAGUUGGAUAUACAAAUUCCCAGCUCAGUGGAGAACACAAGGAUGGAGAUAUAAAUGUGAGUCAUGGGCGCGUGGCCCUGAUAGAGGCAUAGCUGUGGGCUCAUGGUCUCACCAGAAGGGAAGGAGCAAUUCUUCCCCAGAGUGAGUGAAGGAGGGGAAGUCCCUUGACACCUAGUGUGUCACUCAGGGCCUUUUGAUUAUGAGCCACAGAAAUCAACCCUGGCUACUGAGCAUCUCAGAGACUGAGAUUCAAGAAGGAAAUAAUCCAGACAGGGCUGAAUCUCAACAGCAGAAAUUCAAGGACCAUCUUGGGAUGUCUUGGUUCCAGCUGCCUUCUGUCCCUUUAAGACACCUUGGCAAAUGGAGAGUCCCAGGAAUAAGGUCUGAAGGACCCAUAUCUUGGCUGUGGGAUGGAGGUGGGGUACACCUGGUUUCUCUAGUACCUCAUGGGAUAUGGAAUGCAGGAGGCGAUUUCUCAGAGAAAACCUGCAUGCUGUCUUCAGUGAAGGGAGGAAGGAAGCUGGGAAGGCAAGAGCAGCGGCCGUCUUCUCCACCUGGCCUGCCUGGAAACUCCUGCACAUCUUUCAAGAGAUAGGUCAGAGGUCAAAUUCUCUCCGAAGAUUUCCUUGACCUUCACAAAUGAGUUUAUAUGCUCCUCCUCUGUGCUCCCACUCUCUGAAUGGUAAGCACCUGUGGGCCUAUCCAUCUACCCCCCCCAACCCCCCACCCCAUAGACUGUAAGCACACCAAGGUCAGAAACGCACUCCUAUUCAUCAGUGAAACCCCAGCAGCUCACACAGGGCCUGGCAUAUCAUCAGAACUCAGUUUAAAAAAUUGCUGCACUGAAUGUGGCACCAUCAGCUGAAGGCAAUUGGGAUCGCAGCCCCGAGAUUUCUUUUAAUGUAUCAUUCUGUAUUCAUUUUAAAGUCCAGGGCGAGCUGAGCGACAAAUUGCAGAGAUCUCUCCCAAAUGUCUUUCAAGUCACACAGCCAAAUCAGUUCGGCAAAUUAUAUGUCAUCAACGAGGAAAUCAAUAAGUACUGGAAGUGCAUUAAACAGUUUAGCAGAUUCAUUAUGUAUUUAGCACAUUCAGUCCAAUUUGCAGGCAGUUCAGAGAGAAACAGGCUUUAGCAUGUAAACAGUGGCUCUAAUUGAGUCUUUGGAGAGUCCUGGCUGCACAGCCUUUGGAGGUCAGAGCAGACCAGGAAUCUCAGAGCCUUCCCACCCUGUCUAGCCCUGCCAGCCCAGGCCAGUCCCAUGAGUCAGGGGUUUCCCCUCCAAAGGUGGUGACAGGGAUCUCACAAGCCCUUUCUUCUUGGAAAUUUUA